GGUGGUUUAGUGGUUAGAACGUCCGCCUCGGAUGUGGGAGAUCGUAGGUUCGAUUCCCUCUUUAGUCA
This is a non-coding RNA of Potamilus streckersoni, 68 nucleotides long. The record is from the annotation of a GenBank genome assembly. NCBI's taxonomy places the organism in Eukaryota, Metazoa, Mollusca, Bivalvia, Unionida, Unionidae.